CUUAAAUUGAAGAGUUUGAUCAUGGCUCAGAUUGAACGCUGGCGGCAGGCCUAACACAUGCAAGUCGAGCGGUAGCACGGGAGAGCUUGCUCUCUGGGUGACGAGCGGCGGACGGGUGAGUAAUGUCUGGGAAACUGCCUGAUGGAGGGGGAUAACUACUGGAAACGGUAGCUAAUACCGCAUAAUGUCUUCGGACCAAAGAGGGGGACCUUAGGGCCUCUCGCCAUCAGAUGUGCCCAGAUGGGAUUAGCUAGUAGGUGAGGUAAUGGCUCACCUAGGCGACGAUCCCUA
Molecule: ribosomal RNA, 291 nt
Filed under: Pectobacterium carotovorum subsp. carotovorum
Lineage: Bacteria; Pseudomonadati; Pseudomonadota; Gammaproteobacteria; Enterobacterales; Pectobacteriaceae
Description: partial 16S ribosomal RNA
Rfam family: Bacterial small subunit ribosomal RNA
Source: RNAcentral